CAGGAGCUAGCCCGCCGCUGUCAGUAAGGCGGCCCGCGGAUUCUCCGAGCUGCCCGUGGGAAGCUGGCUACAUCAGCUCUCUCCCUUCUCACCUCUGCUACAUAGACUGCCCCUCCCCGAAGACUGGGAUUAGAGUGACUGGUGAUCCUUGGUGAUCCGGUGAUCAUGAGAGACCUCUCUGUGCCCCAUGGGUGGACAGGAACUUUCCUCCCGAAUUACGCCCCUCCCCCCUUAGUUGCUGGAGUAAUCACUGCGGAAAUGAAUGCCAAUCCCUUACACACCUCCUUUGGUAUGGAAGGUCCACCUGAGCAGGGGCGCAGGGUGGAGAAGUCCGCAUCCUACCAGCACCAAGGGGUGCGCCAUAGGUUCCUGUCUGGCUUAAGGUUAUGUCGCCACCAUCUUGAAAAUCCUAAUUCUUAACCCGGCCUAUUCUUUUUGCACUGGGUCUUGAAAAUUAUGUAAUGGUAAUAACUAGUGGGCCUGUCCACAGUGCCGUCUCAAGGGAUAGAGAACAGGUGGGACUGUGGAUUUUCGAACCUGUGCCCGGUCGGUCGGUCGUAGGCUAGCAAGGGUCCUGGGCCCUCUACAGGCUGGUUUUGUAGCUGCAGGCGCCUUUGCUCUUUCCAGUUCUGCGGUUCUGACUUAGGCCUAGCUCACAUUCCCGCCUCCCCCUGCCCCCCUUAAAUUACAGGUUUGAUUGAUUUAGUGGCAGCCACCAGCAAGCAACUAUGGGAAUAGAGUCACUGCACCAAAUUCAAAAAUUCUGUAUUUUGGGUCUCAACAAACCACUGGUAGAAAUAUUGGGGGAGGGGCAUGUCUAUAGUGAACAUGUACACACUCUUUCUCCUUACUUAUUAAAUAAUACUGGAUAGCAAUGAUUCAUAUACACUUUCACAGUACCGGUGUUUAAUAUAGGCGGGGUUAAAAUGCAUAGGUUCUCUCUGCACACAAGCUACCUUAUAAAAGGGAUGAGAACCCUCAGGUUAGAGUAUUGGGAGCAAUAAUGUAUGUAUAGAAUGUGUGGGGAUUCUGAAACCAGACCUGGAAUUGUCUAUAAAUUCGCCUACAUUUUAAUCUCCAGGGUUCUUUCCCGGCUAGUGAUGGGUCUCCCCCUAGUGUCUGGCUGGGGAAUCCUCACUUUCACUUUUCCUCUCGAAGGUAAAUUUAGGCAAUGGCUAAAAGUCCAGUGACCAGGGAAUCCCCAGCCUUCCCUGCUCCACAGCCUCUCUCCCCACCCCCACCCCCGCACCCCUCCCCCAAGUGGUGGUAAUCAGAAUCCUGCUCCUUUCAAGUGGGUGGCAGAGGAAAAGUUCCUGGUCUCUGGGCCUCGUUUUAUUCACUGGUUUCUGGGGAGUGGAAAGAAGGACUCCAAACUGAUAAAGUUAUGAUAAGGCGGUGGGCACAGAGGCCACCACUCUGCCCCUCCACCCUUCCUCUUGCUCUCUUUACAUCCGUGCUCCAAGCUUUGGAGGCCAGCCAACCCUAGAGGGCUUUUAAAAUCACAGCUUGCUGGCAAGUUCCUGUGUCAGUAAGUCUGGGCUAGGAUGCUAGACUUGUAUUUCUAGCAUGUUCCCAUAGUAGCAUUUGUGCUGAUGGUCCACUGUGAGAACUAUUGCUCUAGAGCCAUAGCAGAGUGGAGGGAAAGGACCUGCCUGUUCCAGAGCUGGGUUCCUUGUAACUGAGAGAGCCCAGCAGGAACUCUUCCUUGGCACUUUCUCCCAAAGUGUGAUGGGGGAAGUGCAGCCUGGCUUUAUACUCUUUUCCUCCUCCUCUCUAGGGUAUCUGCAAGCAGCUCUCUGGCUUCUUGCAGAAACCUGUAUUGCAUGUAAAAGUUUGCUUUGUUUCUACCCUGUGUCUAUUCAUCUUCACAAGGUUGGAAACUUGUACCUCUCAGGGGUGCCAUCUUUUGGGUACGACCGGGGACAGAGACCAGCUUGAGUGUGGGGUGAUGGUUUGGUGUGUAAGUAACAGGAUUCUGGUAACACACAGCCCUGGGAGGCCAGUUCUGAGACACUAUUUAUGAAUAAUAGCCAACAGCCAUCAUCUCUGUCCUUCCCUCGCCCAAGCAUUCCAAGGGUCUGUCGUUUGUGGCUGACUUCGAUUCCCUGGCUGAGAAGGCUCCUGUGAGGACACCAGUGUCAACUGUCAUAGACUGAGGCUGGCUGGGACAGUUAGGUGUGCAGCAUCCCCAGCAUGGGGCUACAUAGAAGACACUCUGGUUUGGUUUUCCUGUGGCUCUGAUUUGAUGGAGCAGUGAUGGCUGCUUCCAGAGCUGAUGGGGAAAUGACAUGGAGCCAGAGCUCCUGGGAUGAACACAGAUGAUGUGGAUGGAGAUAGUAUAAUGCCAUGUCAUGUGACCCACCCAAAACUUUCUCAACUUUAUCUUAAGAUCCAUCUCUCUGAGACAAAAAAAAAAGUUCAGGGUGGGGGAGUAACUAUCCCCCAACCUCAAUAGGUAUGGGACUCACCUCUUUAAUCUUUUCCAAUCCAGUCCCCUCCCAUGUCCCAUGAUAGAACAUCUCCUUCUCCUUCCAAUACACACACACACACACACACACACACACACACACACACACACUCCUCCUCCAGGGAAGAAGUGGGGAAAAAAAUCACCAAAUCACUCAAACCCCUGUAGUUCAGGUAGAGAGACAUCACCUGGGGUGAUGGGUGCCGGGCCAGCGGCAUCUUUGACUUUGUCCUUGGUCACCAGGCUUCGAGGUCUCACCACAUCUGCUGGAACAUCUACUGGGAGGUUUUGUUUUGCUUGUUUUGCUUUGCUCCUUAGCAGAUCAUCUUGGCUCAGUGUGGGGUGGGUCACUUUUCCCAGCUGUGACUCAUUCCAGGAGAGAGGACAUGUUGCUUUUAUUUGUGACCAAGGGGAAGGAGUAUGGUCAAGGCUGCUUCAGAGGUGGUCCGAUAACAUGUUAUUUCCCCUGUUGGGUGAGUUAUUUCAAGACUGUCCCCCAACCUCUCCCCUAACCUCUCCCCCAACCCCAGCCCCUAGCAAGAAAGAGAAGGAGAAGACAGACAUAGCCUGAUUUUCCAAGGGGGAAAGCAAGCUUUGCUUUUAUCUGACUCUGAAGCAUUUGAAGCUGCUUAAAGUCUCUGAAGGUUUUCGGAAGCUCUGGGGAUAUUGGUAGUCACACAUAGGAUUACUAUGUCAGUCAGGAUAAGUGAUGUUGCAAAUGCAGCCCCAUAUCUCAGUGCAUCAGACAACAGAGACCUCUUUCUCACUUAUGCCCCAUGUACAGGACGACAAGCACUCGCAAGAGUCUCUCAGGACUCCUGCAGAUCCCAGACACCAUAUCUAAUACGGCCAGUCACUGUGCCAGGAGGAAAUGGAGAAAUCCCUGCUGAUCCUCACUGGAGCUUAAAAAUCUUGGUCGCUUCCAUUCACAGGUCACAGACCAUCCUACACAGGGAGAGCCGGCAGCAACUCCUCACUGUGAGCUCAGAGUCGGAGAAGAGCCGGGGUGGGGUAGCUGACCAUCGGCACUGAUAGCCUCUGCAGUCCUCAGGGACACAGAGCGGUUAUUAAUUUCUUAAGCCAGGUACUCCUCUAAGAUCCACUGCGUAUUAGGUGCUUGUUCAGGCACUGGAGGUCUGGCAGAGACACACAGUCAUCAAGCUUGCUCUCUAGUGGGAGAGGCACACAAUAAGCCAUAGGUGGGAUGCCUGUAUACCAGGACUUGAGUGGUUUUGAAAACAAAUGCAGCAUUUUUAGGAGACAGACGGUGAGGCGGUUUUGUAUCAGAUUAGCCCACUGGGUCUCAACCCUCCUAAUGCUGAGACCCCUUCAUACAGUUCUUCAUGCUGUGGUGAUCCCCAGACACAAAAUUAUCCUUGUUGCUAUGUCAUAACCGUAAUUUGCUACUGUCAUAGAUCAUAAUGUAAACACUUACAUUUUCCCAGUGGUCUUUGGGGGUCACGACCCACAGGUUGAGAACUACUGGAUUAGACAGCCAGGCUCUUUCCUAGAUUUAUCUAAACAGAGUUAAAUGGAGAAAAGCCCGUGUCUGUGAGCAAUAAUGUUCCAGGCAGCAGAUGCGCCAGUCUCUAAGCAUUCCCCAAAUCUAUGAAUACAAAUGUGCCCAAACAUUCUCACACCCUACCAGCAUGAUGUCUGACGACUGGCUUAUAUUUUAUAAGAGAUUUUGAUUAAUAUGACACAUGAAGCACAGAAAAUGGGUCUGAAGCCGUGGAAGGUAAGACUGUGUGAUCCUUGUACAAAAUUUGAGGGAGAUGCCUAAGGCCUUCUUCUUCCUGCUUAGGCUACGCACUACACAGAAGGCUCAGUCUCCACGAGAAGGGGGGUCUCUUGCAACUUUCAGUGGCAGGUGUGUGUGUGUGGGGGGGUGACACCUCACAUUGCUAGAGAACAGUAAAUCUGUGAGGGUCUCUGGUAAAAUGCAAAAUGGCCAGCGUCCCUACUUUAUAGAUUAGAAACCAGAGGCACGGGAUCAUGUGACUGACACAGAGCUCCUAGCCUGGAUUCCAGACCAUUCAAACCUAUGUAUUGGUCUUUGCACUGCCUGCUGGGAUGGGAAGGGCUGGUGAAUAAAACUGGUGUGAAUACAAGUGCACAGUGAAGAGUCAGAAUCCGUAUCCAGUGUUCUUCCCAUAUGACUCUAUUUCCUUGGUGAGGUCCAGGUGUCAGGUCCUGCACCCCAGGGUCAUCCCAGGGUCACCCAUCACUCUUAUCUGUAUCCCUACUAUCUCCACCCUCCUAAUGGGAGUUGCAGGUGACCUUUGAUUUGCCCCCUCCCUUGGGUCUUGUUGCUCUUUCUGACCCUCUUCUCUCUGCAGGGCAAAUAGGAGGUGCUGGGUCCAAUAGAAUGAGCACAGUUGUAGGCUCAUAACCAACGUCUGGUCCAAGGCAUGUUUUCUAAGCCACGAAAUGAUGCUCUAGGGAUAUCGGAAGGAAGGCACCCUGAGACCUUCAGGGCUAUGGGUAAAGAGGAGGGGACUUAGCAGUAUGAGCAAAUCCUUCACGGCGCUGAGCACUGCGGUGAAUUUGCUGCAUCCAGAUGCUUCGGAUGGGCCAGAGAGGGGGCCUGGAUAAGCGCCAUUGUGCAUUCUCAGGCAUGACUUUAAAAAGUUCUCUGCUUAUUUUGUGUAUGAGCAGAGGUCACAGGACAGUUUGUAGUGGUGCAGGAUGGGUUCUCCUCUUCCAUCAACCCUGUCACCAAAUGCUUCUGCUCCCCAGGGAGUUUUCUCUGCCCUUGACAGUACUUAGGGACAAAAGUGUGUGUGUGUGUGUGUGUGUGUGUGUGUGUGUGUGUGUGCGUGCUCUGAAAAGUGUUGUUAGGCUGGGGCAGCAGGUUCAUGGUGACUCCUCCAUCUGCGUAUUGUCAGAUAGGCAGUCUUUCCACCCCAGGCAGCAGCCAGGCUUGUGAUGGGCUGGCUUGUGUGCACACACACACUUUUUCCCCUGCCCUGGAAAAAGUCAGAUAUUCCAGACAUACUCGUCAGCAGCUUUUAUCCUUCAGCCAAAGGGGAGACUGCAAGCCACAGGCACUUAUAUUCCAGGCUCUGGGGCCUGGUAUGGUGGCAGCUAGCCUCAGCCUGGGGUUAGGGCAGAUUAACAAGCAUGGAGGGGCUUGGAUGACAUCAUGGGCUGUCUUUACCCGACCUCAGCCCCACUCUGCCCACCGCUGCCACUUUUUCUAUCUCUGAUGCCCUCAUUUCUGUCCCCCUCAGUGUUUCUCCCUCUCUUUCUCUCUGGCCACUCUCGUUCCUCUCCAUCUCUCACCCUCCUUCCCUCCCUUCUUCCUCUUUCCUUCCCCCUCCCUCCCUCUGGUGAGGGAGGUAUGGAAAAACCAAGGCUCUAAAAGGCAGUUGUUCUGACUUGUCAGCCUAGGAGCAUCAAGUACCUUUGGGUCACCCUGAUCCAAACCUUAGCCUUUCACGAGGGUUGCCCACUGUGGUGGUUUGAGUGAGAAUGGCCGCCAGAGGCUCCUAUGUUUGUUGGGAAGAAUUGGGAGGUGUAGCCUAGUUGGAGGAGGUGUAUCACUGGGGAUGGGGUGGGCUUGGAGGUCUCAAAAGCCCAUACCAGACCCAAUAUGUCUGUCUGUCUGUCUGUCUCCUCUUCUAUCCCUGUCCUUCUUCAGCAUUAUGCUUGUCACCAUGCUCCCCACUACGAUGAUAACGGACUAACCCUCUGAAACUGCAAGCAAGUCCCUCAACUAAAUGCUUCCCUUUAAGGGUUGCCUUGGUUAUGGUGUCUCUUCACAACAGUAGGACAACUAAGACACCCACUCAGAAUCCUUCCUGCCUGGUGACAUGAUGAAGUGCAUCUUGUCCAAACAACACUGAAUCUUCUGGAUACUGUGGGCAGAAAGCAGACAACUCAAACACCACAGCAGCCACAGGGAAAAAUACACCUACACAGUACAGAAAUCACAUGACCACUACCUGUGGUGUGUACCCAGGAAGGACUCAGCAUGGUUGAUGGUGUGUUCUAACACAAAAUGUCCAACAGUCUGAGGAGCCCCCAAAGAUGCUGCUGGGAAAGAAGAAGCCAAGUGACAACAGAAUGUUCUAUGAACCUGAGGGUGGGGCAGUGGACUGGGAGCUUUCCUAAGCCAGAGGAAUGAAGACAAGGGGUGUGUGGGGUGAGGGCGGAGGGAAUAGCUUAAUAAACUCAUGGAACAGGACUACCACACACAAAAUGUAGUCUUGGACUGGUUUCCAGUUUGGACAAAACAAACUAUAAAAAGGAAUUGUGGGACAAUUUGUGACAGAAAAUUUCCAACCAUGGUACAGAGGAGAUGUGAACGUACUGAGGGAAGAGAGCUCACCUGCUUAAUGGGAAGAGCAGGUUAUAAAACGCUAAGGGACAGAAUGUGGGUGACAGUUUACAAAGCACACGCACAAGAACACAUGCACACACAUGUACUGAGGGAAGAGAGCUCACUUGCUGAGGAAAGCAGGUUAUAACAUGCUUAGGGACAGAAUGCAGGUGACAGUUUACACACACACACACACACACACACACACACACACACACACACACACACACACGACAGACAAAGAAGGGGACCAAUGCUAUGUGACUACUCGUGUCUGGGUGGGAGGUCCUUCUCCACUUCCUGACUUUCUCCACCAGCAUGUAGCCUUUUUAAUUACUCCCUCUCUGUUUUUAUUUUAAAUUUUUAUACAAUAUAUUUUGAUCAUGCUUUUCCCCUCUCCCAUCCCAGGCCCUCCCUGUAUCCCUACCCACCCAACUUUCUGUUUUCUCCUUCUUUAAAAACAAACACACAAAAAUCUCAAUAGGACAAAUAUCAAAACAAAAUAAAAGAGAGUCUUGCCUCCUUUCCCCCAAGAACCCAACAACCAUGGACUUCAUUUUAUGUUGGUCAGCUCCUCCUGGCCAUGGGGUCUUCUGUAGAGUGGUCGUUACUCCCAGUGGUACUCUGCUGGGUGGAACUGAUUUUCUCUGUGCCAGAGGGUAUCAACUGCAAAUAGCUUUUUGUUUAGGGGUAGGGCCUGCUGUCCACUUUCCCCUCGCAGACAUAACCAUAUUUUCUUUCUUUCUUCCUUCCUCUCUCUCUCUUUCUUCCUUCCUUUCUUUUUUCUUUCUCUCUUUCUUUGAUACGUCUCUCUAUGUAUCCUUAUAUCCUGGAACUUGCUCACUAUGCAGGCCAAGCUGCUCUCAAAGAUGCUCAUGCCUCUGUCUCCUGAGAGUUAGGAUGAAAGGCAUAUGUCAGCAUAGUCUUCACAUGAUAACAAUUAAAGAAAGAAUCCUGUAUCUUUUUGCUUGGAAGUGCAGGAUCAGAGAAGGAUGGAAGAGGUGAACAGAGAGUCUCGGAGUCCACCAGAGCCUCUAUGAAGGCAGGAACUCUGCAUUGCUUUACCCGCCAGAAAGCUCUGGGGGGUUCAUAGCAG
This is a long non-coding RNA of Mus musculus (house mouse), 7887 nucleotides long. RefSeq annotates it as predicted gene 28913. The record is from RefSeq and is a predicted model, not a curated record. The transcript has 3 exons. Lineage: Eukaryota; Metazoa; Chordata; Mammalia; Rodentia; Muridae.